This 496-nucleotide ribosomal RNA is filed under the name uncultured bacterium. RNAcentral describes it as "partial 16S ribosomal RNA". It matches the Rfam family "Bacterial small subunit ribosomal RNA", at positions 28 to 506 of the family's 1533-position model. The record is from RNAcentral.
GAUGAACGCUGGCGGCGUGCCUAAUACAUGCAAGUCGAGCGAACAGACGAGGAGCUUGCUCCUCUGACGUUAGCGGCGGACGGGUGAGUAACACGUGGAUAACCUACCUAUAAGACUGGGAUAACUUCGGGAAACCGGAGCUAAUACCGGAUAAUAUAUUGAACCGCAUGGUUCAAUAGUGAAAGACGGUUUUGCUGUCACUUAUAGAUGGAUCCGCGCCGCAUUAGCUAGUUGGUAAGGUAACGGCUUACCAAGGCAACGAUGCAUAGCCGACCUGAGAGGGUGAUCGGCCACACUGGAACUGAGACACGGUCCAGACUCCUACGGGAGGCAGCAGUAGGGAAUCUUCCGCAAUGGGCGAAAGCUUGACGGAGCAACGCCGCGUGAGUGAUGAAGGUCUUCGGAUCGUAAAACUCUGUUAUUAGGGAAGAACAAAUGUGUAAGUAACUAUGCACGUCUUGACGGUACCUAAUCAGAAAGCCACGGCUAACUACGU